AAUUUGAUAUAAUGCUUUGGUUAUGGGUGAAAUGUGCAAAGUUUACAAAAUAAGCAAGUGGUUAUAAAAUAUUCAUUAUUGUCGGGGAAUAUUCGUUUGGUCAUGGAAUAUUCUUUUUGUCGGGAAUCUCCGUACGACGGCGCAGUCAUUUGUGGGCCCCAUAACGAAAAACGGUUGGAUGAAGGAAAACGACAAAGAUUGAG
RNAcentral lists this long non-coding RNA (203 nucleotides) under Panax ginseng (ginseng). RNAcentral's name for it is "long non-coding RNA (PGIN_LNC013780)". Lineage: Eukaryota; Viridiplantae; Streptophyta; Magnoliopsida; Apiales; Araliaceae. The record is from RNAcentral.